RNAcentral lists this long non-coding RNA (416 nucleotides) under Homo sapiens (human). RNAcentral describes it as "HSALNT0070004". Lineage: Eukaryota; Metazoa; Chordata; Mammalia; Primates; Hominidae. The record is from RNAcentral.
UGCAUUUCCAUCUGAGGAUUGAACACUUGCCUGUGGAUUGCAUCCUUCUGUCUGGAUUCAUCCUAGAAAUUGCUGUCAAAGUCUUCCAAUGCCAAUUGUUUCUCUGUCUUUUACAAUGUCACCCACCGUGAAACCAAAUGUUACUGUUCUCUGUUUACUCAUAGGGAAGCCCCCUACAGGACACCUCAAGUUAAAGGACUUAACUUAAACCUACAUUUAAAAACAAAACAUAACUUUUAUAUAAUAAAAAUAUUUACAACAAUGUCCAAAAUUUGUUUUAAAUAACUUCAAUAAUAUCAGGGAUAUGCAUGCAUAUUGAACAUAGAAUAAAAAUUUUAAGACAAAAUAAACUUAAUUUGAACAUAAAUUUAUUUGUUGUGGUAAAGAAUGUCUACUUGCUGCAGGUGAGCUCUCAG